Molecule: ribosomal RNA, 253 nt
Filed under: uncultured bacterium
Lineage: Bacteria
Description: partial 16S ribosomal RNA
Rfam family: Bacterial small subunit ribosomal RNA
Source: RNAcentral
GACGUAGGGUGCGAGCGUUGUCCGGAUUUAUUGGGCGUAAAGCGCACGUAGGCGGACUAUUAAGUCAGGGGUGAAAUCCCGGGGCUCAACCCCGGAACUGCCUUUGAUACUGGUAGUCUCGAGUCCGGAAGAGGUGAGUGGAAUUCCGAGUGUAGAGGUGAAAUUCGUAGAUAUUCGGAGGAACACCAGUGGCGAAGGCGGCUCACUGGUCCGGUACUGACGCUGAGGUGCGAAAGCGUGGGGAGCAAACAGG